Molecule: ribosomal RNA, 253 nt
Filed under: uncultured bacterium
Lineage: Bacteria
Description: partial 16S ribosomal RNA
Rfam family: Bacterial small subunit ribosomal RNA
Source: RNAcentral
CACGUAGGGCGCAAGCGUUGUCCGGAAUUAUUGGGCGUAAAGAGCUCGUAGGCGGUCUGUUGCGUCUGCUGUGAAAACCCGGGGCUUAACCCCUGGCUUGCAGUGGAUACGGACAGACUAGAGGUAGGUAGGGGAGAAUGGAAUUCCCGGUGUAGCGGUGAAAUGCGCAGAUAUCGGGAGGAACACCAGUAGCGAAGGCGGCUCGCUGGGCCAUUCCUGACGCUGAGACGCGAAAGCUAGGGGAGCGAACAGG